This 1366-nucleotide ribosomal RNA is filed under the name Stenotrophomonas pavanii. RNAcentral's name for it is "bacterial SSU rRNA". It matches the Rfam family "Bacterial small subunit ribosomal RNA", at positions 57 to 1419 of the family's 1533-position model. The record is from RNAcentral. Lineage: Bacteria; Pseudomonadati; Pseudomonadota; Gammaproteobacteria; Lysobacterales; Lysobacteraceae.
GCAAGUCGAACGGCAGCACAGGAGAGCUUGCUCUCUGGGUGGCGAGUGGCGGACGACGUGCCGAUCUAUGCAGCCUUACUCUGGCGAGGGGGAUAACGUGCGGCUAGUGACGCUAAUACCGCAUACGCCUACGGGUGAAAGCAGGCGACCUUCAGGACUUGCGCGAUUGAAUGAGCCGAUGUCGGAUUAGCUAGUUGGAGGUGUAAAGGCCCACCAAGGCGACGAUCCGUAGCUGGUCUGAGAGGAUGAUCAGCCACACUGGAACUGAGACACGGUCCAGACUCCUACGGGAGGCAGUAGUGGGGGAAUAUUGGACAAUGGGCGCAAGCCUGAUCCAGCCAUACCGCGUGGGUGAAGAAGGGCUUCGGAUUGUAAAGCCCUUUGAUGGGAAAGAAAUCCAGCCGGCUAAUACCCGGUUGGGAUGACGGUACCAAAAGAAUAAGCACCGGCUAACUUCGUGCCAGCAGCCGCGGUAAUACGAAGGGUGCAAGCGUUACUCGGAAUUACUGGUGGAAAGCGUGCGGAUGCGGACGUUUAAGGCCGUUGUGAAAGCCCUGGGCUCAACCUGGGAACUGCAGUGGAUACUGGACGACUAGAAUGUGGUAGAGGGUAGCGGAAUUGCAGUGGUACCAGAGGAUGCGGAGAGAUCAAGAGGAACAUCCAUGGCGAAGGCAGCUACCUGGACCAACAUUGACACUGAGGAACGAAAGCGUGUGGAGGAAACAGGAUUAGAUACCCUGGUAGUCCACGCCCUAGACGAUGGAACUGUUGGGUGCAAUUUGGCACGCAGUAUCGAAGCUACCGCGAUAAGUUCGCCGCCUGGGGAGUACGAUCGCAAGACUGAGACUCAAAGCGAAUUGCCGGGGGCCCGCACAAGCGGUGGAGUAGGGGUUCAAUUCGAUGCAACGCGAAGAACCUUACCUGGCCUUGGCAUGUCGAGAUCUUUCCAGAGAUGGAUUGGUGCCUUCGGGAACUCGAACACAGGUCCUGCAUGGCUGAAGACACAUCGUCUCCUGGAUGUUGGGAUAAGUCCCGCAGCGAGCGCAAGCCUAGUCCCUAGUUGACAGCACGUAAUGGCGGGACCUCUAAGGAGACCGCCGGUGACAAUCCGGAGGAAGGUGGGGAUGACGUCAAGUCAUCAUGCCCUUACUCCCAGGGCUACACACGUACUACAAUGGUAGGGACAGAGGGCUGCAAGCCGGCGACGGUAAGCCAAUCCCAGAAACCCUAUUUCAGUCCGGAUUGGAGUCUGCAACUCGACUCCAUGAAGCGGAAUCGCUAGUAAUCGCAGCUCCGCAUUGCUGCGGUGAAUACGUUCGCCGGGUCCUUGUACACACCGCUCGUCACACCAUGGGAGUUUGUUGCA